RNAcentral lists this ribosomal RNA (224 nucleotides) under uncultured bacterium. RNAcentral's name for it is "partial 16S ribosomal RNA". It matches the Rfam family "Bacterial small subunit ribosomal RNA", at positions 524 to 746 of the family's 1533-position model. The record is from RNAcentral.
GACAGAGGGUGCAAACGUUGCUCGGAAUCACUGGGCGUAAAGGGCGUGUAGGCGGGAAGGAAAGUCGGGCGUGAAAUCCCUGGGCUCAACCCAGGAACUGCACUCGAAACUUCUUUUCUUGAGUGCCGGAGAGGAAAGCGGAAUUCCUGGUGUAGAGGUGAAAUUCGUAGAUAUCAGGAGGAACACCAGUGGCGAAGGCGGGUCUCCUGGGCCGUAACUGACGC